RNAcentral lists this long non-coding RNA (1526 nucleotides) under Rattus norvegicus (Norway rat). Its description in RNAcentral is "long non-coding RNA NONRATT033780". Lineage: Eukaryota; Metazoa; Chordata; Mammalia; Rodentia; Muridae. The record is from RNAcentral.
CGCAAGUUUGAGGCCGGCCUGGCCUAUUUAACAUGUUUCAGGCUAGUCUAGGUUAUAGAAUGAGGCCUUACCUCCCAAGCAGGGAUGUGGUGGGGGAAUUAACAGAGCAUUAGGUUGUAAAAGAGCAUUAGGCAUUAACAUUGUAAUAGAAUUGUAUCAUAUAGUAUAUAGACGACUUCUUAUCUGGAAAAGAAAAUACAAUAUAAUACAUACACAAUUUACUCUUUGCUUUUGGUUCUUGUCAAAGGGAUUUUUCAUCUUCUGUUUUGGAAUUCUCUUGGAUAACAAGAUGCGGCAACUUCUGUCCAACAAGUUGACUUCAUUAAGUUCAUGGAAGCAAACAUCAAAGCAAAACUCUUCAGAUAUUGUUACCAAGCCGAAAUGCUUAAGGCCUUUCAACAUACUACAGCACAGAGGCAUGUAUGCGCUUUCUCAUACUAGAGAUUCGUCCACUGACAUCACAUUAACCCAGUUUUUAUCAACCGAAUAAAGCCACGAGUCAUCAUCAAGGGCAAAUUUUUCUUUGAGCGACAUGUUAUUUAGAGCCAGCAAAGACACACACAGAAUCAGAUGAGACUUUGUGACUUGGGAGUCCGAGGAUAAAGCUGGUUACUUUGGGGCUGGAGAGACGGCUCAGUGGCUAAGAGCACUUGAUGCUCUUGCAGAAGACCUGGACUCAGUUCCCAGCGCCCACAUGGUGGAUCACAGCCAUCUGUUCCGGGGGAUCUGUGGCCCUCUUCUGACUUCUGUGAGCACUACAGACACAUGCAGUGGGUGCACAGACAUACAUGCAGGCAAAACAUUCAUACACAAAGAAAAUAAAUCUUUUUUAAAAACCCAAUAGGUGACUUCAGUGGUUCAACCCUGCCUCCUUUAUCCCAAAUUAAAUAGAAAUGGCAUUAAUUAAAGAGUGAGGUAAGAAAUGUCACACAUUGUUCAUACAGGAAGACUUGUCAAUGAGGCCCCUCCCCCUGCCCCCAGUAUCUCCAGCCAUUAGGGAAAAUUAAAACACCAAUAAGAUAGUGCCAUACACCUACUAGAAUAUCUGUCCGAACAAUCUAACCCCUAUCCCGGGGAGCACAGCAUAAUUCUACUCGUCCUGAACCUUGGUCAAGCAAGAUGGUCCACAGUAAAGUAGGUCAGUCAUUUUAGGGUAGAGUUGAGUGGUGAAUGCCACAGAAUAAGGAAGGAGCAUGCAAAUUCUCCUGGGAGGUGACAUAUAAGUUACAGUAAUGGUGGCUUGGCAAUGUGUGCACUAUUCAAACCAUAUUGCACAUUACAUGCAAUUAAUACAUAGAGUUUAUUGUUAAUAGGUUUUAUUUUUAAGGCAAAAGGAUGAAGUACACACAGGAUGGAAUAAUGUAGUUGGUUCAAACUCAAUUUAGGAAACAAGCAUAUGCUGCCCUCAAUGGCUCAGUGGCUAAAAACACUUACUGCCAAGCCUGAGGACCUGAGUUCAAUCCCCAGGACCCACAUGAUGGGAAAAGAGAUCUGACACAGGUUGUUUGUUCUCUGGAUUCCAUACA